Molecule: long non-coding RNA, 415 nt
Filed under: Rattus norvegicus (Norway rat)
Lineage: Eukaryota; Metazoa; Chordata; Mammalia; Rodentia; Muridae
Description: long non-coding RNA NONRATT024500
Source: RNAcentral
GUCACCUCUGCUUCUCCCUCUAGUUAGGAAGAUGACUGUGGGGAGGACUGCGGGAGGCCCCGAGUGCGCCGAGUGGAGCCGUGAGGUGAGUGGAGAAAGAAGUAAGCAGGAUGCCUCAGCUAGGAAUACUCAAGAGUGGAAACUGUUUAGCGUUGCCGUGGAGACAGAGUCAGGGGCGUGUCACCAAAGGGCGUGGAAUUAAUUGGCUGUGCUUAGGCACUUAGAGAAUCAGUCUUGAGGGCUUGGGUCAUUUGUGUCUUGUACCAGGCUGUGAUAUCAGGGACCGUAUUAAUAACAAACUACGAAUUAACCUUGAAAAUCUUAAAAGCAAUCUUUAUCUUCAUAUAAUUAUCCAGAAAAGGCAAAUCUAGGGGGUGAGUCAUUGCCUGGGGGUGAGAAGGUGAGGAGAAAUAGG